Rhincodon typus (whale shark) is the source of this 7174-nucleotide long non-coding RNA. RefSeq lists it as uncharacterized. The transcript is spliced from 3 exons. Lineage: Eukaryota; Metazoa; Chordata; Chondrichthyes; Orectolobiformes; Rhincodontidae. The record is from RefSeq and is a predicted model, not a curated record.
AUAUAUUUCCCUCCCCACCCUAUCUGCCUUCCGGAGGGACCACUCUCUCCAUGACUCCCUUGUCUACUCCACACUCCCCACUAGCCCCACCACACCCAGUUCCCAAGUGCAGUCUCCUUGGCAAGGCCUGUAUUGCAGUCAACUUGCCAAUCAAGUGUUAUUUAUUUAUGCAGUACAAAUUGUUGCAUCCUUCAAAAUUUGGAAUUCUUGCAUCUGUCCUGAUGAAUGUAAUUCUAAAGCUUUGACACCAUGUCACUUUUCACAGUAUUGUUCAUGUAAGUUUUAUUUUGCAAACUCCACUUGAAUAUAUUGACGCCUGUAGGAAAGCUAUUUACUUGAAGUUGUCCACUUCAAUAACCCCCAGUUAUUACCUACCCACACAAGAACUGACACCUCCUCAAACUCCAUUUAAUUUUUGCAGAUUAAUUCCUAUCUAGACCAAGGAAUAAUGAGCCCCCUGCAAAUGACCUUUGUAAAUGGUAUUGGAGAAGAAAAGCAGGCCCCCAGUGCUUAAGUCAGAUCCAGUGGAAGCAUUCAACUAGAGAAAGAUGGAGAUAGCAAGAGAAAAAUCAAUAGCUCAUGACAAAUUUGUUCGCUGUAUUGUUGGCACCUGGUGGGAAUCUGCUUACUGACUUGGGGAGAGAGAAAGAGAAGCUAAAGAUAGAACAAGGCAAGAGCUAGGAUGGACUUCGCCCAAAUCUCAGUGCAGGGUGUGGUCUUGAAGGGGGAAUUACUGAGAUUUCUGAACAUUCUGGAUCAACUGAAGAUGAUGGCCACUUAAGUCAAUGGAAUCGGUAAUAAACAUAGGACGUUUCUGGUAUGGGCCAAAGACCAUGGCUGUUGUUCAGCUGUGGAAAAAUUUUGGCUCAACGAGUACUGCACGUCAGAUCAGCAGCAGUGGAGGAAUUGAGAGAGGUGUUUGUUUGAAAUAGCUGGGUGUCUCUUGUGUACAUGAGGAAACGGAUGCCAUGUCUCAGUAAGGUCACCAAGAGGUAGCACAUGGACGAGAAUUAGCAAAAGGAGACAUUUGUCAGGGCUUGGGAGAGAGUCCAGCUUAUGUUCUUCUCUAUCUAAGCUGGAUAUGUAGGAGUGGCACUCGAUGACAGCAUAUCCAAUUUACUGGAUGAGGAAGGAGAGGGUGUUAUUCUCGGCAAUUGUAAAGUAAUUUUAUGUCUAGUUCUUUAAGUCUAGGAUUACAAAACUGACUAUGAGUCUCGAUAGUUUCUAAACAUAAUUCAUUGAUUGAAUUUUAUUAUUUAUUAAUGAGAUGGAUAUAGUUCUUGGAGCUAAACAGAUCAAAGGGUAGGGGGCUAAAGAGGGAACAGGGUACAGAGUAUGAUGAUCAGCCAUGAUCAUAUUAAUAGAACAGGCUCAAGGGGAUGAAUAGUCUACCCUAUUCCUAUUUUCUAUGAUUCCUAGACUAUGUGACUUGUAGUAUCGUGGCUGUAAGUUAUCUUUACUUACAAUUACACUACAUGGGAUCAAUCCAUAGUGCAUGUAGUCAGUUGGUUAAUCAAGCUGAUACUUCUGUUUUCCCUUUGUUCCUUUUCCUCGUUGGUAAGGGAUGGCAAUGAGCAUUCUUGUGCUCCUGGCUUUUUACUUUCAGUUGGUUGUGCUGGGAAGUCCUUUGUAAUCAAGACGGUGCUAGUUAGGGAAGCACACAUUGGCUAUCAGGGGAUUGGACCAUGCUCCGUCUUGGAGGUCAAGUGCAUACAGUCUGUGCAUCACAUGUUCUGCGUGGGGCUCAAGCGGAUGCCUUGUUUCUGACAGUCCUCAGAGCGUAACAGAUCUCAAGAGUUUCUUGCUCCGUGAGCUGCGGACACCUGUCAAUGAUGUUCUACUUCGAGUAUCCACCAAGGGUGAUAGCUCUGAGCUGGUGGAGGAUGCACACAAAAGCAUUGCAGGUGCAUCCUCUGACAGUUCACAAGCUUCCUCCUCAGAGGUGAAGAUGUGGCUGAGGGGCUCAACCUAUGGCCUUAACCUCACAGAGAUUCCCUCGGUACCAGUUUUGCAUGUAUAAGAGGAGAAGGACCGACUGGGAGAAAAUGGAUAAAAGCUUAUGCAGAACAAGAAUGAGUUAGCACUGGUGGUAAUCGGAGAACAGUACAGAACACUGGAGCUUAUUCAUCAUCACCGGAGCAGUCCUUGUUUAAUCCGCCCAACUCAAUCUUCUCCUGAAAAGGGAAUGUGAUGAGCUUGAUGUCUGACACCGACCUUUCCAACGCUGUGACCUGAAAUGGUGUCUACAUGGGCAGCAGAGCCUGGAAUCUGGAAGAUGCUGGCAGCGGAAGGCCGUGCAAAAUCACCAAGUCACACAUCCAACAUCUCACUUGCAUUAGUAAUGAGCUGGGAAGUACUAAAUAGAUUAAUCUACCUCAUCCCAGGUCAUGGCAGACAGUACACUAUGAAACUUUAUUAUCGCUACAAUUCAGCUUCAAAUGGGAAAAUCCCAAGCUAAGAUUCAUAAACACUGAACUUGGAGAGGGACUAAAAGGAUGUGAGUUGACAGCAAGACAGCUGAAACCAAGGAAGCAGUUUAGUUUGGUUGGCAACGGGAAAUCAGAAGCAUCUAUACAGAUGCUCUUAAACUUAUAGCUUUUCACUCCUGAUCUUCAAGAUAAGAACUGAGAAGGAAAGGGAGAGGGGUUUCAAGAUAUGGCUUGUUACAGAUAAUAGAAGCUGGGGUUAUUUUUGCAUUCCAGGAUGAUUCUGAAGGAAUGAGCUGCUUGGCAGAGACCUGUCAACUCAGAUAGUGCCUGAUAUGGCCAACCAAACCUGGUGAUAUAUAUUGUACACAACUGGCUUAACCAUUCAAAUGAAGACAUAGGGCCACACCAGGGAGAAUAAUCAUGGUGAGGGAGAGGAAAGCUUUUACGGAGAUGAGCAUCAGUGGUGGAAUAAUUGUGUGACUGAGCAGCUACAGAAAUGUUGUGAUAAAGACUAAAAAUCUUUGAAAUUUGAAACUAUAUUGGAAGCAGCUUGGAGAAGAGAUUUUUUUACAGAUGGGCCAGUUGAGGAAGAAAAUACUGUAUUCUAUAAUUCAGCAUCUUGUUAUAUCAUUGUCUUUGGUGCAUUAAUUAAUCUGUAAAUUUUUUUUAUGGGGAAAAAAAUUUUCUGUAAGAGAAUUUAUUCACAAAUUAAUUAAUGCACCAAAGCCAAUGAUACAACAAGAUACUGAAUUUUGUACUUUAUGGUAUGGGUUUAUUCUGCAAGAAACCGAAAAGAACACGUUAGGUACUGUGCAUGACUUCUUGUAAACACCACACCACAGUAAGUGGUUGAAUAUUAAAUUUCAGCACAAUAAGUCAAACGAACCUUAACAAACUUAUAAAACAGCCUUUUAGCCAUGAACACGAGAAUAGUAUGUCGCGAGAGACACAUCCUAAAUUCCCAUUUUUAAAAAAAUUCUUGAUCAGAUUUGCAACAAAGAUGGAAAGAUUAUUUGUUUCAUCAUCAAGCAGAUUUAAUUUGUGAAGGUGACAUUCACUUUCAUAAAAGACAGACCGUACCAUAAUAGUUGUCACAGAAGAAUUUUGAAUGCUGAACAGCAGGAGUAAAUUGGUUUCUGUUGAUGUUAAAUGGCUUUCCAGCUCCCACCUAAAAGAUAAUAGAGGAACUGAUUAAAACAUAUAAGGAGGAAAAAGAAAUUUAAAAGGUAAGCAAUAUCGACAAAAGUAGAGAAAACAAAGAUAUUCAAGUCAACAAAUGAAAAGUAAGCAGUCCUUUCAUCCUUUCAUUUCUCUGUUUUUUGUUUCCUAUUUAUUUUUUAAUGACAGAUGCAAUAUAAAAGUUAAAACUCCUAAACAUACCCAUUAUGCUCGAAUGUAUUUUUGCCAAUCAUAUAAACAUCAAAUUGGAGUUUGCUAGUACACACCUGUUUGGUUGAGCACAGUACUAAGUGGGGGGAGUUGGUUAGCUCAGUUGGUUGGACAGCCAGUUUGCAAUGUACAGUAUCAGUGCCUGAGGUUACCAUGUCAUCUUCUCAACCUUGCCCUGCGCCUGAGGCAUGACAAUCUUCAAGUUAAAUUCAUCACAGUCAUCUCUGUCUAAUGAGAAAACAGUCCUAUCAUUCUCUGGGACUAUAGUAAUGUUACUUUUACCUAGUUAGCAAUUAGCUAUGGCUGAUCAAUGAGAAGGAGGUUUGAUUUUUGAGAAGAUGUUAUUGCCUUAGACAUUUUUCCCUCUUGUCAAACGGUAUUGUUUAUGGAACAAAUGAAAAUCCAUAAGGAAAACUGACAAUUUGAUAAACCUCUAGCUAACUUUUUUUUCAGUAACUACACAGGUAUUAUAUUUAAUAGACAAAAUAUUAAGUAUGAUGUUAAUGUGUGAAAAUUAAUUAUCAUUUUUAGUUCCAUUGAUGACUAUGAUUGUGAAGAAUUCAGGUAAGACCUUAUCAUUUCUCUUCAAUUUACUUACUUGAGAACAAGGUAAAUGAAGCGUGAAGCCAUAUAUCUCAUCAACGUGCCAUCCACCAUCAGCACCAUCUUACUGGUAUGAAGCAAUUUUUAAAUCAGUGAAAAUCAGUUUAUUUGUGAAGUCUCAAAUACAAUCAAGAAAACGGAGAAACUGUGCCUGUGAAUAUGGAGCAUUUCCAGAUCAAUACUUGGAUCAAGAAAAUUGAACUAAUUAAUCCUAAAGGCACAGCUAUGUGGAUAUCUUUACCAGUGCUGCCAACUUAAUCCUCUACAGGAUGUUCAGGACACCAUGAUAUUUAAAGACAGGAGAUUUCCAUACACUUAAAUUUAAUAAAUGGUUAUAGUAUGCCAUCCACCAUGACCAAUCUUAAUGAAGUAUCCUUCCCUUCACCUUGCUGUCAAGCCUUGGGAUUUCCACAAAAACUUUAAGGAAAUCCAUCACAGCUGUAUUACUUAAAGCUGGAAUACUUCCAGCCAUUCCUGAACAACUAACUGGAGAGCAAUUAUUAAGGUUGAUCAGCAGAGUAGUGACCAUUACUAUUCUUACGAUCUGUGGAUUUGUGUUAAUUAUCCCUGAAUUAUUACUGAAGUCGAGCAUCUUUGUAGUUUGAUCCACUUGAAUCAGCUUAAGGUAAUGUUUUCACUUUCAAAAAUACGAGGAAAAAGUACUCCGGUUUUGCCUGCUUGACCUGAUAGUAUAAAUACAUCUACCAUUGAGGAUGUGGAUAAAGUAGCCUCAUGCUGACAUAGUAUUUUGUGGAUAUUAAUUUUGGCAUCUUCCCUCCUCAACCAUUUUAGAGUGAGUGAGGAGUUCAAGGGACUUGUCCAAAAUAUCUAAAGCAGAUGUGACAUGGCUAUCAAUUGCUGUAAAAAGAGAGAAAAAGUCUUCAGUACAAUUUUUUUUUGAGUGGAAGCUUAGAAAGCUUCCAUAGUUUAUCUUGCCAAGGCCUUGAAUAUAUAAAUCGACUGGUUAAAUUGGAUGCAAGAAGUUUCCCUUCAGUUAUAUUUAAUCACCCAAAGAUUAAUUUAUUUGCUUGAGGGUCUUAUUUUUAAAAAAUGAGAUAGUUGUAAUGAGUCAGUUAUUUUUAAACUUUUGCUAGGUGUCCAAACAAAAAUAUCUAAAGUAUAUUCAUUAGAAUGACACUUAGACACCUGGAAUCUAGAAGUUUUUUGGAAUAUUUUAAUUUUGAAAAAAAUCUUGGAUUCUUGAUUGUUGAAGCAAUUUUUAAGAAGUCACUUUCAAAGAUUUGUUUCAAAUUUUGUAAUGAGAUAGGAACAUCAUUAGCAAGACCAGCAUUUAUUACCUGAAACUAAUUGAUCUUGAAAAGGUGAUGGUGAGCCACAUUCUUCAGCCAUGUGGUGUAGAUACUUCCACACUGCUGUUAGUCAAGUUCAAAUUGUUUGUAGUAUAUCUGAACUUCUAAAAUAUAAAGUGGCAAAAUAAUGUUAAUCUUACAUUUUGUUGCAUGGUGAACUUGUUAUCAAACCAAUGAAAUAUAAUGUUUUGUGUUUUUUUUUUAAAUUAUAUAAUUCACAAUUUUGUAGUUGAAAACAAAUUGGUACAUCUCCUGAACGAUUGUGUUGGCAAUCCCAGAAUACUAACAUUCUUGUCCUUGACCUUUCCAGUAAACUAUCCCACCAGCCAGUCCUGCUUUUCCUGAGGGAUCCAUUCAUCUUACCCACAGCCACCGAAUUGAAGGAAAUGUUCCAGUGUUUUCGUGGCCAUAACUGAAUUCAAUCAUCAAGAUGCAUCCAGAUCAAAGUAUAUAACUGCUUCAAUAAAACACAGAAGUGCGGAUGCGGGAGAUAUGAAACAAAAACAAGUUGCUGGCGAAACUCAGCAGAUCCUGCUUGGCUCGCUGAAUCUCAAGUGAUUUCUGCUUUUGUUACAUAACCACUUUUGUCUGACUGACUCAGACUUGUUUGCUUUGCUGAUUUAGUUGUGUUGCCAAUACUCUGUUUUGUUGAUUACUUCAGUUGUUGUCCCGAGGAAACAUCCCAUAGUCUCACCAGUACAUCAAAAUAAAGAGAACUCAACUAUAGCUUUUGUUUUGACAGUAAUAAUGUUAACUAUAGCCCUGACCUUCCUUUCUCUUGUGAUCUCUUAGAUGACUCCCCAAAUGUAGUUAUUGAAGGUGUUCUACAUGGAAUAUACUAUCCAUACCUUCAAUUGAGGUAGAACAACAUCUACUGCAAAAAAGGCAUUUCAAGAUAUGCAACCACAAGGUUAACCAGUAAUCAUCAUUAAAAGAGACACAUUUUAAUAUGCAGUCAUCAGUUCUGAUUGAUUUACCUUGACAAGUUGUACAUUUAAUGCUUAAUACAAUAAAUAUUUUUAACUUUUACAAAAGUUAUUGCAUUAACUGAUGUGUAUAUAAUAUAUAGAUAUUUAAAAAGGACUGCUCUGUAAAUGUUUAUCACUGAAUAUGUGACAUAUUACAUUGUGAACCUUGAGAGUAUGGACUUGUUAUAAUGUAAUAACCAUAUUAUUUGAAUUUUACGAUCAAAAGCAUUACUUUAUCUUUAAAUGGAGAACGUUUCUAUUUUAUUCCUUUUUUCCCCUGUUGGGAAAAUCUUAGUCAAUGCAACAAUCAAUGUUGGAAGUAAACAUUUUAGGCAGAAGUGUUUUUACAUUUAAUAUUUAUCUGUACAUCAGCGAUCAUAAAGUAUGUAAUUUUGUUAACAUUGCAUUGAAGUAAUGCAUAUCCAUUAUUUUAUAAUUUUAUGUAAUAAAUUUGAACAGCACAGCACACAAUGAA